UGGCCUAAGUUGACCUGUUAAUAGGUAGGA
RNAcentral lists this non-coding RNA (30 nucleotides) under Homo sapiens (human). The record is from RNAcentral. Lineage: Eukaryota; Metazoa; Chordata; Mammalia; Primates; Hominidae.